GUAUGGCGGCUGCCUUAACAUGCAAGUCGAACGGUAGAGUAGCAAUACUCGAGAGUGGCGAACGGGUGAGUAAUAUAUCGGAACGUGCCCAGUCGUGGGGGAUAACGUAGAGAAAUUUACGCUAAUACCGCAUACGAUCUACGGAUGAAAGCGGGGGAUUCGCAAGAACCUCGCGCGAUUGGAGCGGCUGAUAUCAGAUUAGGUUGUUGGUGAGGUAAAAGCUCACCAAGCCGACGAUCUGUAGCUGGUUUGAGAGAACGACCAGCCACACUGGGACUGAGACACGGCCCAGACUCCUACGGGAGGCAGCAGUGGGGAAUUUUGGACAAUGGGCGAAAGCCUGAUCCAGCAAUGCCGCGUGUGGGAAGAAGGCCUUCGGGUUGUAAACCACUUUUGUACGGAACGAAACGGUUCGCUUUAAUACAGUGGGCUAAUGACGGUACCGUAAGAAUAAGCACCGGCUAACUACGUGCCAGCAGCCGCGGUAAUACGUAGGGUGCGAGCGUUAAUCGGAAUUACUGGGCGUAAAGCGUGCGCAGGCGGUUAUAUAAGACAGUUGUGAAAUCCCCGGGCUCAACCUGGGAAUUGCAUUUGUGACUGUAUAGCUAGAGUACGGUAGAGGGGGAUGGAAUUCCGCGUGUAGCAGUGAAAUGCGUAGAUAUGCGGAGGAACACCGAUGGCGAAGGCAAUCCCCUGGACCUGUACUGACGCUCAUGCACGAAAGCGUGGGGAGCAAACAGGAUUAGAUACCCUGGUAGUCCACGCCCUACACGAUGUCAACUGGUUGUUGGGUGCAUUAGUACUCAGUAACGAAGCUAACGCGUGAAGUUGACCGCCUGGGGAGUACGGCCGCAAGGUUGAAACUCGAAGGAAUUGACGGGGACCCGCACAAGCGGUGGAUGAUGUGGUUUAAUUCGAUGCAACGCGAAAAACCUUACCUACCUUUGACAUGUAUGGAAUUCGCCAGAGAUGGCUUAGUGC
Molecule: ribosomal RNA, 981 nt
Filed under: uncultured bacterium
Lineage: Bacteria
Description: bacterial SSU rRNA
Rfam family: Bacterial small subunit ribosomal RNA
Source: RNAcentral